Molecule: ribosomal RNA, 404 nt
Filed under: uncultured bacterium
Lineage: Bacteria
Description: bacterial SSU rRNA
Rfam family: Bacterial small subunit ribosomal RNA
Source: RNAcentral
UGGGGAAUAUUGGACAAUGGGGGCAACCCUGAUCCAGCAAUGCCGCGUGAGUGAUGAAGGCCUUCGGGUUGUAAAGCUCUUUUGUUAGGGAAGAUAAUGACGGUACCUAACGAAUAAGCUCCGGCUAACUUCGUGCCAGCAGCCGCGGUAAUACGAAGGGAGCUAGCGUUGUUCGGAAUUACUGGGCGUAAAGGGCGCGUAGGCGGUUAUCUAAGUCAGAUGUGAAAGCCUUGGGCUUAACCUAAGAAUUGCAUUUGAUACUGGAUAACUAGAGAUCGAGAGAGGAAAGUGGAAUUACGAGUGUAGAGGUGAAAUUCGUAGAUAUUCGUAAGAACACCAGUGGCGAAGGCGGCUUUCUGGCUCGAUACUGACGCUAAGGCGCGAAAGCGUGGGGAGCAAACAGG